UCCACUCACAAGGCAUUGGUCAGCCCGGGGCUAUAGCAGAAGACACUUGCCCAAGAUGCCACGCAGUGGGACUGAACCCGGAACCAUGUGGUUGGUUAGCAAGCUACUUACCACACAGCCACUCAGUUAUGUACAAACUAAAAUAUUGGUUAUCUCAAUCAAAAUGUAACCAAUAAAUGAGAAUUAAUUGCCGAAAGAUAACAGUAAUUAUCAUACAUAAUUACUAUAAUUAAUUAGUAAUGAAAAAGAAUUAUAUGUUAUCAUGAAAUUAAUUCUUAGUUGCCCUUUUUUGCUUUUUGUAUUUUGUUUUUGUUUUUUAUGUAAUUGGCAUUCCUGAAGAAUGCAUUCUUAAGCCAGUUCUAUAUUAUAUUCUUGUGCCAACCAAUAUUCUUAGUUACAUAGUGAUUCCUCCGUCUCUGCUGAAUCAAGUAUGAUGGAGUCUAUGAUUUGCUGAUGAGGUUGUAAUAAGACUGAAGUAUGUCCAGAAUUGUCUUCCACACUUACAGAAAUAAUUUAAAAAAUAUAUUAGCCGCUGACCCGAUAAUGUUUUUUCUUGUCUAAAAUGCAAUUAUUUUUAUUUACUUCAUCAUGUUUCCGGCUUUAUAAAUUUUUGAUUUUUUCCAUGUUUCCCUCAUUGAACAGCAGCCAUGUAGGGUUUUAGACAAAGAGAUCAACCUAAGUCCUUAUUUUUAAAACCUGGUACUUAAUCUGUUAAUCUCUUUCACCAGACUCCUAAGAAAUGGGCAUGCGAACAAACCAACGACAGUUGUGGCAUGGUUGGAUCGACAAACACAAAGGCAUGUACAUAUACGUGUGGUGUUUGUAUGUGUGUAUGUUUGUGUGUGUAUAUAUCUUUGUGUGUGUAUGUGUGUGUGUG
Molecule: long non-coding RNA, 877 nt
Organism: Octopus sinensis (East Asian common octopus)
Lineage: Eukaryota; Metazoa; Mollusca; Cephalopoda; Octopoda; Octopodidae
Exons: 3
Source: RefSeq, a predicted model, not a curated record